This is a long non-coding RNA of Ostrea edulis (European flat oyster), 638 nucleotides long. RefSeq lists it as uncharacterized. The record is from RefSeq and is a predicted model, not a curated record. The transcript has 2 exons. NCBI's taxonomy places the organism in Eukaryota, Metazoa, Mollusca, Bivalvia, Ostreida, Ostreidae.
AAAUUACAGCAUUAUAUAGAAAGAAAGUUGUCAAAGUUAUAUUUAAAGAUACUUGUAGUUAUGAUGUUCAUUUAUUGAUGCUUUAUGGUAAUCAGCCGGGAGUGAUUUAUACAAAUUAAAGGUUUCCCGGUAUGUGUGUGUAGUUCUGUUGAACAGAGUAGUUGCUAUAUGUUUUGUCAAAUUUAUAUACAAGCAUUCGUGUGUUGUAUGUAUUUGUAAUGAAGACCACUGUGCAGGUCUUUUGAUUUUCUAUAAGGGAUGUGUAGGAAAUAACUUUCUCUGAAGAAAACUUUUAUAUUAUCAGUAUGAUUUAAUUAAUUGCUAAUAGAGUAUCCUAGAUGAUGAUGACAACAGGGCUGUCACUGUCCUUUUUGGUACAGGGUCCGGGUCCCAUUAAAUUGGGAAAAUUAUCGACGUUUUGGGUCAAAUUGGGAAAUUUUUACUUUCAUACAAUGAUUUUAAAAAACUAUUAAAACAUAAAAUGAUUGUUCUAAGAUAAAGACAAAAACAACAGAGUAAGUUCAAUUAGGUUUUAUUUUUCAAUUGAUCACCUAGCUGCCAAUCUAUAAAGAGACUAGAGCUCUCUCGCGCAACUUUUCGGGACUUGUCAAAAAUGCGCGAGAAGUUAUAAGUAAAAA